Erpetoichthys calabaricus (reedfish) is the source of this 449-nucleotide long non-coding RNA. RefSeq lists it as uncharacterized. The record is from RefSeq and is a predicted model, not a curated record. Lineage: Eukaryota; Metazoa; Chordata; Cladistia; Polypteriformes; Polypteridae. The transcript has 3 exons.
UUAUAAAAACAGCAGCUUUGCAAUGUCACAAGUGCUUUUUCCAACUGGUCUUUCCUUCCAAGAUCUUCAUGAAGAGCAGAGAAUCGAUCCAUUGCGGUGCUCGGCGCUAACGCUGCGAUACUGUAUAUCCGUGCUCAAAAUGACAGACUUGCACGUUGAAGCCAAGUUCAUUGACAAAAUAAAAGGAAAAAGAAAGCUGCCAAACUAGAUAACCGAAGAUGAAGAUGGAAUAUCUUAUGGUAUGCUUAUAUGGUAAAGAUACCAAAAUUCAUAUUUUGAUUGGCUACCGUUUAACACAAUAUUUCUUUCUUAUAGAGGAACAUAUAAAGUUGCUUGAAGAAAGGUUUAAGACCGUGGUCAAAGAAGGAUGUAUCUGCUCUCCUGAAACACUUCAAUAUUUUCUUCAUUUUAGUGAAAAAAAAAUGUAAAAGAUAGUUUACAAUAAAAUA